GACGAACGCUGGCGGCGUGCUUAACACAUGCAAGUCGAACGCUGAAGCUCAGCUUUUGUUGGGUGGAUGAGUGGCGAACGGGUGAGUAACACGUGAGUAACCUGCCUCCUUCUUUGGGAUAACGCCCGGAAACGGGUGCUAAUACUGGAUAUUCACUGGUCUUCGCAUGGGGGUUGGUGGAAAGGGUUUUUCUGGUGGGGGAUGGGCUCGCGGCCUAUCAGCUUGUUGGUGGGGUGAUGGCCUACCAAGGCUUUGACGGGUAGCCGGCCUGAGAGGGUGACCGGGAACAUUGGGACUGAGAUACGGCCCAGACUCCUACGGGAGGCAGCAGUGGGGAAUAUUGCAGAAUGGGCGCAAGACUGAUGCAGCGACGCCGCGUGAGGGAUGGAGGCCUUCGGGUUGUGAACCUCUUUCGCUAAUGGUCAAGCCGCAACAAUGGUUGUGGUGAGGGUAGUGGGUAAAGAAGCGCCGGCUAACUACGUG
RNAcentral lists this ribosomal RNA (483 nucleotides) under uncultured bacterium. Its description in RNAcentral is "partial 16S ribosomal RNA". It matches the Rfam family "Bacterial small subunit ribosomal RNA", at positions 28 to 507 of the family's 1533-position model. The record is from RNAcentral.